RNA transcript from Abrus precatorius (Indian licorice), 2185 nucleotides. It is a transcript of the gene named protein RETICULATA-RELATED 1, chloroplastic-like, with no coding region annotated. Lineage: Eukaryota; Viridiplantae; Streptophyta; Magnoliopsida; Fabales; Fabaceae. The transcript is spliced from 8 exons. The record is from RefSeq and is a predicted model, not a curated record.
AGUCCUUCCCACUAGAGGCCAGGGUCUCCAGUGGGUGGGUUUGUUCAGCUCAAACACUGUGGAGGCAGAGAAGAGGCUCAAAGAAUGGCAGCAGAGUCACUGAGAGUAACCACUUCAUCUCUCUGCCAUCUCAAUGAAUCACAGAGGAGACCAACCCCACUCUCUCCGGUUCGCUUCAUGGGUUUUCGCCCUCGACCCUCUCACUCUCUCUGUUCAUCUUCUCUUUUGCACUUCUUGGGGAGUUCUCGAAUCAACCACAAUUCUUCCAAUUCACGCCACCUUGCUCCAAGAAGAAGAAACCAUUCUGUUUUCGCCUCCCAUGUCGAAAGCCACACAACCUUUCACUUAGAGCGGUGUUUUGCAGCGCCGUCCGCCUCUUCCACUUCGAUGAAGGGCCAGUACGGUGCCUUCGGUGCCGUUACCUUGGAGAAAUCAAAGCUUGAUUUAACGCAAAAGCAAACCCAAUCCUCCCCCAAGCUAGAUGUUGGGGGAGGUGGUGGAGAUAUUGGAAAAAAAAUCAACCAUGGUGGUGGUGAUGGAGGUGAUGAUGAUGGUGAUGAUGAUGAUUACUUUGAUGACUUUGAUGAUGGUGAUGAGGGAGAUGAGGGUGGCUUGUUUAGGAUACGGAUACUUCUUGAAGAGUUAUUUGACCGAAAAUUUGUGGAUGCUGUGUUAAAUGAAUGGCAAAGGACUAUGAUGGAUUUGCCUGCUGGGUUUCGGCAAGCUUAUGAAAUGGGGUUGGUUAGCUCAGCUCAAAUGGUAAAAUUUCUAGCAAUCAAUGCUAGGCCAACCACCAGUAGGUUUAUUUCCCGAAAACUUCCUCAAGCACCAUCGAGGGCUUUCAUAGGAAGGUUGCUUGCAGAUCCUGCAUUCUUGUAUAGGUUUCUAUUAGAGGAGGUUGCAACAAUAGGAUGCUCAGUGUGGUGGGAGUUUAAAAAUCGAAAAGAUAGGAUAAAGCAGGAGUGGGAUCUUGCACUUAUCAAUGUGCUCACAGCAGCAACAUGCAAUGCAGUAGUUGUUUGGUCCCUUGCACCUUGUCGAUCAUAUGGGAACACUUUUCGGUUUGAUUUACAAAAUACAUUGCAGAAGCUUCCUAACAACAUAUUUGAAAAGAGCUAUCCACUUAGGGAAUUUGACUUGCAAAAGAGAAUUCAGUGCUUUUUGUUCAAGGCUGCUGAGUUGUGCAUGGUUGGUUUGAGUGCUGGUGCAGUACAGGGUACAUUGUCAAACACUUUGGCAAGGAAAAAGGAAGGAAGGAGUUCUUAAUACUAAUUUUUUUUCUUUACAUAUGUCAUGCCUGAAUCAUCUGCAGAUUAUCUGUGACAGUCCCAAGUGUAAGCAGCAAUGCACUUGGUUACGGUGCUUUCCUUGGAAUUUAUGCUAACCUGAGAUAUCAACUGUUAUGUGGAUUUGAUAGCGCGAUGAUGAGCCAUUUUGAUGUUAUUGGAGUUGCAUUGUUCUUUAGCACAGCAUUCAGGGCCUUGAACGUUCAAUUAGGAGAAACUUCUAAGCGUGCCUGGCUCGGAGUUGAGGCAGAUCCGCUGGCUCAGUCGGAUGACCUCUUGAAAGCUUACAACAGGACUUCUGAGAAUAUAGAAAAGCCGUCCUCAAAAUGGUUUAUAUCAAAAAAUGCAGUUGUUUCUGGGCUUGGGCUCCUGGGCAUCAAACAAGGGAAUGCAGAUGGGGCUGGCGCAGAAUCUACACCUAAAGCUCGGCGAAAAAGGGUUGUUCGGAAGAAGGUUGCUGCAGGUUCAGCUUAGUUUCUUCUGAUGUAAAUGCAGUCAUCCAAUUUUGCUGUUUGCUAGAGUUUGCUACUACUGGAGUGUCCUUGGCGGUUACUGGCUGCUCCCCACUUUAGUGGACCAAGAUUUUUCUUCACAUUAACUAAAAUUUGAGGAGGGUUAUGUUUUUAAAUUCUUUUUAGGGAUUCUUGUAUCGAUCCUUUGUGUUUUGCUACCUGAAUCUGUACUAUAUAUUUUUAAUUUUUCAAAUAAAGUAGAGCAAGUAUUUUUUCUUCCCUUGAUCCAAACACCUGACGUCCUUGUAACUUCAAUGCAGACUAAAAAAUGUAGUUCACAUACUCCUCUCCAGUCAAUGAUCUUCAAGUCAUAGAUCAUGUAAUGUCCCCAGCUUAUGUUCCGGAGACUCCUAAUCAUAUUGAUUAUAAAAUUCAACUUAUGAUUUU